CUAUGUUUCCAAUUUUAUUACUACUUUCAAACAUAUACCCUGGUUCUGUUCCUGAGAGACCGAGUUGCCAGCAGGAGGGCAUUGGCAGCGACGAGAAAGUCCCGGGAGACGGAGAGCAAGAAGAAGAAAGGGAGGAGGAAUCGGGAGGCGGCGCGACCGCGACCGAGGAGAAGACCAAGAAGGGCAAGCGGAAGGUCAUGGUAUGCAGCAAGCCGGAGGACUCCGGCAAGGUCAAGAGAGCCAAGCCCGGCGGCGCGGUGGCGGCGCUCGAGCCGGACCUCCGUGGCCCAGACACGGAGUGGUGGUAUGCCUUCCUCAGCAAGCACAAGGAACGCCAAGCCAAGUCAGGUCUUACUGCGUCAGUGCCUUCAGACGAGGAGGAAGCAUUCAGGUACUUCUUCAGGACGUCGAGGAGUACCUUUGACUACGUCUGCUCAAUUGUAAGGGAUGAUUUGAUCUCAAGGCCGCCUUCUGGGCUGAUCAACAUUGAGGGGAGACUACUUAGUGUGGAGAAGCAAGUAGCAAUUGCCAUGAGGAGGCUGGCAUCCGGUGAUUCCCAGGUGUCUGUGGGAGCUGCUUUUGGCGUGGGACAGUCUACUGUUUCACAAGUGACAUGGAGGUUUAUCGAGUCGAUGGAAGAGAGGGCUCGGCAUCAUCUGGUGUGGCCGGACCAGGAGAGGAUGGAUGAUAUCAAAGCUAACUUUGAGGUGGUGUCUGGUCUGCCAAAUUGUUGUGGCGCCAUUGAUGCCACACACAUAGUUAUGAUGCUUCCUGCUGUUGAGUCAUCGGAAUACUGGUACGACCAUGCGAAUAACUACAGUAUGUUCCUGCAAGGGAUUGUUGACCAUGAGAUGCGAUUUAUUGAUGUUGUCACCGGUUGGCCUGGCAGCACGACAUUUUCCCAAUUGUUGAAAUUAUCUGAAUUUUACAAGCUCUGUGAGGCUGGGAAACGCUUGGAUGGUCCUGCCCAAGUUUCAAGGGAGGAUUUAGAAAUAAGGGAGUUCAUUGUUGGUGACGUGUCUUAUCCUCUACUCCCGUGGCUUAUGACUCCAUAUCAAGGAGAAAGUCUGUCUGCCCUAAUGGUCGAUUUUAAUGCCCGUCAAAAAGCCGCAAGAAUGCUUGGAACAAGAGCAUUGGCACGGCUGAAAGGCUCCUGGAGGAUCUUGCAAAAAGUCAUGUGGAGGCCUGAUAAGAAUAAGUUACCGAGUAUAAUUCUUGUCUGCUGCCUGCUUCACAAUAUAAUGAUUGAUCGCCAAGACCAACUGCUUCCAUCUCUCGAACUUCCAGAACAUCAUGAUACCGGUUAUACUGAAGUGAACUGCCAGAAAAAGAAUCGUAACGGUAAAGUGAUGAGGGAGGUCAUUACAGAACAUCUCCCAAGGAAUGGUGUGUGGCUACUUUGAAAGCAAACAACUACCAUCAUGCUUGAGUUAAUAUUCUCCUUGACGAUGACAAUUCCUAUCACCUUGAGUUGCAUUGCAUACAGUCUCUAAGUUAAUUAUUUAAACAGAAGUGCUCUUGCCUCGAUAGACGGUGAAUGGUGUAGUUUGGAAGAGUUGGGCUCUCUUUCCCAGCUCAGGUCUCUUGGACUACAGGUGGGUGCAGCUGCCUUCCAAGGGCCUCAGCCUCGGCGCCGGCGCGGGCGCCUGGCCGAGCUCGCCGAUCGAGCUGGCAUCAAGAACAGGGAUUCUCGGCUUGCACUUUCUCUCCCCGGUGCAGCGGUCGCCGGCGGCGAGGGUGGUGAUGAGCGAGGCGGAGGACUACACCUGUGUCAACGCCUGGGGGCCCAACCCCAAGAUGACCAACAUCUUUGACCCCCGCGUCGUCCAGAGCUGCGAUGGUUGCUGUCAGCUGAGCUCCUGCUGCGACAACUGGUAAAUAAAAGUUCCGAUUUCUGAAUUUCUGAUGCUUUGCAAGUUGGCAUGUUGUUUUUCAUGCUUGUCAGUGUUAUUAAUUCACUUGACACUGCCAGAAAAUGCAGAAAAGAGGUA
Brachypodium distachyon (stiff brome) is the source of this 1991-nucleotide RNA transcript. It is a transcript of the gene named protein ANTAGONIST OF LIKE HETEROCHROMATIN PROTEIN 1-like, with no coding region annotated. Lineage: Eukaryota; Viridiplantae; Streptophyta; Magnoliopsida; Poales; Poaceae. The transcript is spliced from 4 exons. The record is from RefSeq and is a predicted model, not a curated record.